CCAUUCGUAAAAGUGAGUUUAACGUUUCAGAAUUGCUAAAUCACCGGCCUUUCACGCCGGCGACGGGGGUUCGAAUUCCCCUGAAGAA
This 88-nucleotide transfer RNA is filed under the name Nitrospina sp. RNAcentral describes it as "tRNA-Glu". Lineage: Bacteria; Pseudomonadati; Nitrospinota; Nitrospinia; Nitrospinales; Nitrospinaceae. The record is from RNAcentral.